ACGAAAAAAAUAUUCCCCAUAUAAUUUUAAGAAUAUGGCUUGAAAGUUUCUACGUUGCACCGUAAAUGCUACGACUAUGGGGGAGGAUGAUGU
RNAcentral lists this non-coding RNA (93 nucleotides) under Candidatus Pseudogracilibacillus intestinigallinarum. Its description in RNAcentral is "Purine riboswitch". It matches the Rfam family "Purine riboswitch aptamer", at positions 8 to 98 of the family's 102-position model. From Rfam's summary of the family: Riboswitches are metabolite binding domains within certain messenger RNAs that serve as precision sensors for their corresponding targets. Allosteric rearrangement of mRNA structure is mediated by ligand binding, and this results in modulation of gene expression. The record is from RNAcentral. Lineage: Bacteria; Bacillati; Bacillota; Bacilli; Caryophanales; Bacillaceae.